CCGGCGACCGGCGCACGGGUGCGUAACGCGUAUGCAACCUACCUUUAACAGGGGGAUAACACUGAGAAAUUGGUACUAAUACCCCAUAAUAUCAUAGAAGGCAUCUUUUAUGGUUGAAAAUUCCGAUGGUUAGAGAUGGGCAUGCGUUGUAUUAGCUAGUUGGUGGGGUAACGGCUCACCAAGGCGACGAUACAUAGGGGGACUGAGAGGUUAACCCCCCACAUUGGUACUGAGACACGGACCAA
RNAcentral lists this ribosomal RNA (245 nucleotides) under uncultured bacterium. RNAcentral's name for it is "partial 16S ribosomal RNA". It matches the Rfam family "Bacterial small subunit ribosomal RNA", at positions 88 to 334 of the family's 1533-position model. The record is from RNAcentral.